GACGAACGCUGGCGGCGGGCUUAACACAUGCAAGUCGAACGGAAAGGCCCUGCUUUUGUGGGGUGCUCGAGUGGCGAACGUGUGAAUAACACGGGAGUAACCUGCCCUGGACUUUGUGAUGUCUUCAGGAAACUGGUGAUAAUACCUGCUAGGAGCUCCUGCUACAGGGUGGGGGUUGGAAAGUUUCGGCGGUUGUGGGUGUACUCGCGGCUUAUCAGCUUGUUGGUUGGGUAGUUGCUUACCAAGGCUUUGGCGGGUAGCCGGCCUGGGAGGGUGACCGGCCACAUGGGGACUGAGAUACGGAGCAGACUGCUACGUGAGGCAGCAGUGGGGAAUAUUGCACAAUGGGCGGAAGCGUGAUGAAGCAACGCCGCGUGCGGGAUGAAGGCCUUCGGGUGGUAAACCGCAUUCGCCUGUGACGAAGCGGGAGUGACGGUAAUGGGUAAAGAAGCACCGGCUAACUACGUG
RNAcentral lists this ribosomal RNA (468 nucleotides) under uncultured bacterium. RNAcentral's name for it is "partial 16S ribosomal RNA". It matches the Rfam family "Bacterial small subunit ribosomal RNA", at positions 28 to 507 of the family's 1533-position model. The record is from RNAcentral.